CGUAGGGGGCUAGCGUUGUCCGGAUUUAUUGGGCGUAAAGAGCGCGUAGGCGGCUAGGUAAGUCCGACGUGAAAUCUGGAGGCUCAACCUCCAGCGGUCGUUGGAAACUACUUGGCUAGAGUCCGGAAGAGGAGAGUGGAAUUCCUGGUGUAGCGGUGAAAUGCGCAGAUAUCAGGAAGAACACCGAUGGCGAAAGCAGCUCUCUGGGACGGUACUGACGCUGAGGCGCGAAAGCGUGGGGAGCGAACAGGAUUAGAUACCCUGGUAGUCCACGCCGUAAACGAUGGGUGCUAGGUGUGAGCGGUGUCGACUCCGCUCGUGCCGAAGCUAACGCAUUAAGCACCCCGCCUGGGGAUACGGCCGCAAGGCUA
This 371-nucleotide ribosomal RNA is filed under the name uncultured organism. RNAcentral describes it as "bacterial SSU rRNA". It matches the Rfam family "Bacterial small subunit ribosomal RNA", at positions 526 to 896 of the family's 1533-position model. The record is from RNAcentral.